This 240-nucleotide ribosomal RNA is filed under the name uncultured bacterium. RNAcentral describes it as "partial 16S ribosomal RNA". It matches the Rfam family "Bacterial small subunit ribosomal RNA", at positions 96 to 334 of the family's 1533-position model. The record is from RNAcentral.
UGGCGGACGGGUGAGUAACGCGUGAGUAACCUGCCUUUCAGAGGGGAAUAACGUUCUGAAAAGAACGCUAAUACCACAUAACGUACAGUUACCGCAUGGUAGCAGUACCAAAGGAGCAAUCCGCUGAAAGAUGGACUCGCGUCCGAUUAGCUAGUUGGUGGGGUAAAGGCCUACCAAGGCGACGAUCGGUAGCCGGACUGAGAGGUUGAACGGCCACAUUGGGACUGAGACACGGCCCAG